CCUACGGGAGGCAGCAGUGAGGAAUAUUGGUCAAUGGCCGGAAGGCUGAACCAGCCAAGCCGCGUGAGGGAAUAAGGCCCUAUGGGUCGUAAACCUCUUUUGUCAGGGAGCAAAGGCGUCCACGUGUGGACGAGAGGAGAGUACCUGAAGAAAAAGCAUCGGCUAACUCCGUGCCAGCAGCCGCGGUAAUACGGGGGAUGCGAGCGUUAUCCGGAUUUAUUGGGUUUUAAGGGUGCGCAGGCGGUCUGUUAAGUCAGCGGUCAAAGCCCGGGGCUCAACCGCGGCCCGCCGUUGAAACUGGCAGUCUCGAGUUGGAGAGAAGUAUGCGGAAUGCGCGGUGUAGCGGUGAAAUGCAUAGAUAUCGCGCAGAACUCCGAUGGCGAAGGCGGCAUGCCGGCUCCACACUGACGCUGAGGCACGAAAGCGUGGGUAGCGAACAGGAUUAGAUACCCUAGUAGUC
Molecule: ribosomal RNA, 460 nt
Filed under: uncultured bacterium
Lineage: Bacteria
Description: partial 16S ribosomal RNA
Rfam family: Bacterial small subunit ribosomal RNA
Source: RNAcentral